UACGGAGGUGGCGAGCGUUGUCCGAAGUUACUGGGCGUAAAGCGCGCGUAGGCGGGCUAAUAAGUCGGAAGUGAAAGGCUGGGGCUCAACCCCAGCAGUGCUCCCGAUACUGUUAGUCUUGAGGGCGGCAGGGAGAAGUGGAAUGGCUGGUGUAGCGGUGAAAUGCGUAGAUAUCGUUUGGAACGCCAAUGGUGAAAACAGGUUGCUGGGAGUGUGCUGACGCUGAGACACGAAAGCCAGGGGAGCGAACGGG
Molecule: ribosomal RNA, 253 nt
Filed under: uncultured bacterium
Lineage: Bacteria
Description: partial 16S ribosomal RNA
Rfam family: Bacterial small subunit ribosomal RNA
Source: RNAcentral